GGCUCCGUGGCGCAACUGAAUAGCGCAUCAGAUUUCGGCUCUGAGGGUUGGGGGUUUGAAUCCCUUCGGAGUCACUA
Molecule: transfer RNA, 77 nt
Filed under: Maribacter sp. ACAM166
Lineage: Bacteria; Pseudomonadati; Bacteroidota; Flavobacteriia; Flavobacteriales; Flavobacteriaceae
Description: tRNA-Arg
Rfam family: tRNA
About the family: Transfer RNA (tRNA) molecules are approximately 80 nucleotides in length.
Source: RNAcentral